UACGUAGGUGUCAAGCGUUGUCCGGAUUUAUUGGGCGUAAAGCGCCCGCAGGCGGCUUGCCAAGUUCGAUGUGAAAUCUCCCGGCUCAACUGGGAGGGUGCAUCGAAAACUGGCAGGCUUGAGGCAGGGAGAGGGAUGUGGAAUUCCAGGUGUAGUGGUGAAAUUCGUAGAUAUUCGGAGGAACACCAGUGGCGAAGGCGGCUCACUGGCUCGGUACUGACGCUGAGGUGCGAAAGCGUGGGGAGCAAACAGG
Molecule: ribosomal RNA, 253 nt
Filed under: uncultured bacterium
Lineage: Bacteria
Description: partial 16S ribosomal RNA
Rfam family: Bacterial small subunit ribosomal RNA
Source: RNAcentral